GAUGAACGCUGGCGGCGUGCCUAAUACAUGCAAGUCGAGCGAACGGACGAGAAGCUUGCUUUUCUGAUGUUAGCGGCGGACGGGUGAGUAACACGUGGAUAACCUACCUAUAAGACUGGGAUAACUUCGGGAAACCGGAGCUAAUACCGGAUAAUAUUUUGAACCGCAUGGUUCAAAAGUGAAAGACGGUCUUGCUGUCACUUAUAGAUGGAUCCGCGCUGCAUUAGCUAGUUGGUAAGGUAACGGCUUACCAAGGCAACGAUGCAUAGCCGACCUGAGAGGGUGAUAGGCGACACUGGAACUGAGACACGGUCAAGACUACUACGGGAGGCAGCAGUAGGGAAUCUUCCGCAAUGGGCGAAAGCCUGACGGAGCAACGCCGCGUGAGUGAUGAAGGUCUUCGGAUCGUAAAACUCUGUUAUUAGGGAAGAACAUAUGUGUAAGUAACUGUGCACAUCUUGACGGUACCUAAUCAGAAAGCCACGGCUAACUACGUG
This 497-nucleotide ribosomal RNA is filed under the name uncultured bacterium. RNAcentral describes it as "partial 16S ribosomal RNA". It matches the Rfam family "Bacterial small subunit ribosomal RNA", at positions 28 to 507 of the family's 1533-position model. The record is from RNAcentral.